AGAGUUUGAUCCUGGCUCAGGAUGAACGCCGGCGGUGUGCCUAAUACAUGCAAGUCGUACGCACUGGCCCAACUGAUUGAUGGUGCUUGCACCUGAUUGACGAUGGAUCACCAGUGAGUGGCGGACGGGUGAGUAACACGUAGGUAACCUGCCUCGGAGCGGGGGAUAACAUUUGGAAACAGAUGCUAAUACCGCAUAACAACAAAAGCCACAUGGCUUUUGUUUGAAAGAUGGCUUUGGCUAUCACUCUGGGAUGGACCAGCGGUACAUUAGCUAGUUGGUAAGGUAACGGCUUACCAAGGCAAUGAUGCAUAGCCGAGUUGAGAGACUGAUCGGCCACAAUGGAACUGAGACACGGUCCAUACUCCUACGGGAGGCAGCAGUAGGGAAUCUUCCACAAUGGGCGCAAGCCUGAUGGAGCAACACCGCGUGAGUGAAGAAGGGUUUCGGCUCGUAAAGCUCUGUUGUUGGAGAAGAACGUGCGUGAGAGUAACUGUCCACGCAGUGACGGUAUCCAACCAGAAAGUCACGGCUAACUACGUGCCAGCAGCCGCGGUAAUACGUAGGUGGCAAGCGUUAUCCGGAUUUAUUGGGCGUAAAGCGAGCGCAGGCGGUUGCUUAGGUCUGAUGUGAAAGCCUUCGGCUUAACCGAAGAAGUGCAUCGGAAACCGGGCGACUUGAGUGCAGAAGAGGACAGUGGAACUCCAUGUGUAGCGGUGGAAUGCGUAGAUAUAUGGAAGAACACCAGUGGCGAAGGCGGCUGUCUGGUCUGCAACUGACGCUGAGGCUCGAAAGCAUGGGUAGCGAACAGGAUUAGAUACCCUGGUAGUCCAUGCCGUAAACGAUGAGUGCUAGGUGUUGGAGGGUUUCCGCCCUUCAGUGCCGGAGCUAACGCAUUAAGCACUCCGCCUGGGGAGUACGACCGCAAGGUUGAAACUCAAAGGAAUUGACGGGGGCCCGCACAAGCGGUGGAGCAUGUGGUUUAAUUCGAAGCUACGCGGAGAACCUUACCAGGUCUUGACAUCUUGCGCUAACCUUAGAGAUAAGGCGUUCCCUUCGGGGACGCAAUGACAGGUGGUGCAUGGUCGUCGUCAGCUCGUGUCGUGAGAUGUUGGGUUAAGUCCCGCAACGAGCGCAACCCUUGUUACUAGUUGCCAGCAUUAAGUUGGGCACUCUAGUGAGACUGCCGGUGACAAACCGGAGGAAGGUGGGGACGACGUCAGAUCAUCAUGCCCCUUAUGACCUGGGCUACACACGUGCUACAAUGGACGGUACAACGAGUCGCAAGCUCGCGAGAGUAAGCUAAUCUCUUAAAGCCGUUCUCAGUUCGGACUGUAGGCUGCAACUCGCCUACACGAAGUCGGAAUCGCUAGUAAUCGCGGAUCAGCAUGCCGCGGUGAAUACGUUCCCGGGCCUUGCACUCACCGCCCGUCA
RNAcentral lists this ribosomal RNA (1434 nucleotides) under uncultured bacterium. RNAcentral describes it as "bacterial SSU rRNA". It matches the Rfam family "Bacterial small subunit ribosomal RNA". The record is from RNAcentral.